This 233-nucleotide unclassified non-coding RNA is filed under the name Hevea brasiliensis (rubber tree). The record is from RNAcentral. Lineage: Eukaryota; Viridiplantae; Streptophyta; Magnoliopsida; Malpighiales; Euphorbiaceae.
CCACAGAUCCUCAAAGAAUAACAUGGAUAGUGAAUUAUGAAGAACACAAACUCCAAUCCCAAUCGUGUAUAUAUACACCCAAAAAGGUACAGACGUGACGGCAAUAAAGCGAAGCUCGUNNNNNGAUCCUAUGGUGCGCACAUCCCCAUUGUAGCAGAGUUUAGAUAGAAUAACAGAGAAAAGGAGACGGGAAUUCGAUUGGCAUUAAGAGAGGGUGUCGACAUAGUUUGACG